UACAGAGGGUGCGAGCGUUAAUCGGAAUUACUGGGCGUAAAGCGCACGUAGGCGGCUUGUUAAGUCAGGGGUGAAAUCCUGGAGCUCAACUCCAGAACUGCCUUUGAUACUGGCGAGCUUGAGUUCGGGAGAGGUGAGUGGAACUGCGAGUGUAGAGGUGAAAUUCGUAGAUAUUCGCAAGAACACCAGUGGCGAAGGCGGCUCACUGGCCCGAUACUGACGCUGAGGUGCGAAAGCGUGGGGAGCAAACAGG
Molecule: ribosomal RNA, 253 nt
Filed under: uncultured bacterium
Lineage: Bacteria
Description: partial 16S ribosomal RNA
Rfam family: Bacterial small subunit ribosomal RNA
Source: RNAcentral